RNAcentral lists this small RNA (122 nucleotides) under Salmonella enterica subsp. enterica serovar Infantis. RNAcentral's name for it is "partial RtT sRNA". It matches the Rfam family "RtT RNA", at positions 42 to 130 of the family's 130-position model. Rfam says of the family: This family represents a bacterial cis-regulatory element known as RtT RNA. The exact function of RtT is unknown although it is thought that it may be involved in changing the cellular response in relation to amino acid starvation. RNAcentral also lists the same sequence under 1 other name. Lineage: Bacteria; Pseudomonadati; Pseudomonadota; Gammaproteobacteria; Enterobacterales; Enterobacteriaceae. The record is from RNAcentral.
UUCGAAUCCUGCACGACCCACCAAUUUAACAUCAAACUCAGAUGUUGAACGUGAAGGAUAACGUUGCGUCAGCAACGGCCCGUAGGGCAAGGCGAAGCCGAGUCAUCCUGCACGACCCACCA